Molecule: ribosomal RNA, 492 nt
Filed under: uncultured bacterium
Lineage: Bacteria
Description: partial 16S ribosomal RNA
Rfam family: Bacterial small subunit ribosomal RNA
Source: RNAcentral
AGUGAACGCUGGCGGUAGGCCUAACACAUGCAAGUCGAACGGCAGCACAGUAAGAGCUUGCUCUUACGGGUGGCGAGUGGCGGACGGGUGAGGAAUACAUCGGAAUCUACUUUUUCGUGGGGGAUAACGUAGGGAAACUUACGCUAAUACCGCAUACGACCUACGGGUGAAAGCAGGGGAUCUUCGGACCUUGCGCGAUUGAAUGAGCCGAUGUCGGAUUAGCUAGCUGGCGGGGUAAAGGCCCACCAAGGCGGCGAUCCGUAGCUGGUCUGAGAGGAUGAUCAGCCACACUGGAACUGAGACACGGUCCAGACUCCUACGGGAGGCAGCAGUGGGGAAUAUUGGACAAUGGGCGCAAGCCUGAUCCAGCCAUACCGCGUGGGUGAAGAAGGCCUUCGGGUUGUAAAGCCCUUUUGUUGGGAAAGAAAAGCAGCAGGUUAAUACCCCGCUGUUCUGACGGUACCCAAAGAAUAAGCACCGGCUAACUUCGUG